Molecule: long non-coding RNA, 372 nt
Filed under: Homo sapiens (human)
Lineage: Eukaryota; Metazoa; Chordata; Mammalia; Primates; Hominidae
Description: non-protein coding lnc-ATL2-3:1
Source: RNAcentral
UGUGGUGGCGGACGCCUGUAAUCCCAGCAACUCAGGAGGCUGAGGCAGGAGAAUCGGUUGAACCUGGGAGGCAGAGGUUGCAGUGAGCCGAGAUCAUUCCACUGCACUCCAGCCUAGGUGACAGAGUGAGACUCCAUCUCAAAAAAAAAAAAAAAAAAAAAAAUUAAACCCAAGCCCAUGGGCUACACAUCCCCACCAGCAUGGUGGCAGGACCUCAACUCCCCUUUCUAGCCUCCCUUCCAUCUAGUAUAUUUCUGUGGGUGAUUGGGUGAGGUCUCAGUCAUGGGACCUCAUCCCUCUGGGUCACUGCCUGUCUUAGUUCACUGUGCUGCUGCUUCAGCAGAAAACCACAGUAUAACUUAAAAGAAAAGA